GACGAACGCUGGCGGCGUGCCUAACACAUGCAAGUCGAACGGAACUGUUUUGAUAGAUUUCUUCGGAAUGAAUUUGAUUUAGUUUAGUGGCGGACGGGUGAGUAACGCGUGAGUAACCUGCCUUCAAGAGGGGGAUAACAUUCUGAAAAGAAUGCUAAUACCGCAUGACAUAUCGGAAUCACAUGGUUUUGAUAUCAAAGAUUUUAUCGCUUGAAGAUGGACUCGCGUCCGAUUAGUUAGUUGGUGAGGUAACGGCUCACCAAGACCGCGAUCGGUAGCCGGACUGAGAGGUUGAACGGCCACAUUGGGACUGAGACACGGCCCAGACUCCUACGGGAGGCAGCAGUGGGGGAUAUUGCGCAAUGGGGGCAACCCUGACGCAGCAACGCCGCGUGAAGGAUGAAGGUUUUCGGAUUGUAAACUUCUUUUAUUAAGG
This 436-nucleotide ribosomal RNA is filed under the name uncultured bacterium. Its description in RNAcentral is "bacterial SSU rRNA". It matches the Rfam family "Bacterial small subunit ribosomal RNA", at positions 28 to 444 of the family's 1533-position model. The record is from RNAcentral.